Rhodobacter sp. is the source of this 72-nucleotide transfer RNA. It matches the Rfam family "tRNA". From Rfam's summary of the family: Transfer RNA (tRNA) molecules are approximately 80 nucleotides in length. Their secondary structure includes four short double-helical elements and three loops (D, anti-codon, and T loops). The record is from Rfam. Lineage: Bacteria; Pseudomonadati; Pseudomonadota; Alphaproteobacteria; Rhodobacterales.
UGGGGCGUCGCCAAGUGGUAAGGCAGCGGUUUUUGGUACCGCCAUUCGGAGGUUCGAAUCCUCCCGCCCCAG